This 307-nucleotide ribosomal RNA is filed under the name uncultured bacterium. RNAcentral's name for it is "partial 16S ribosomal RNA". It matches the Rfam family "Bacterial small subunit ribosomal RNA", at positions 506 to 807 of the family's 1533-position model. The record is from RNAcentral.
AGACAGCAGUAGCCGCGGUAAUACAGAGGGUGCGAGCGUUAAUCGGAUUUACUGGGCGUAAAGCGUGCGUAGGCGGCUUUUUAAGUCGGAUGUGAAAUCCCUGAGCUUAACUUAGGAAUUGCAUUCGAUACUGGGAAGCUAGAGUAUGGGAGAGGAUGGUAGAAUUCCAGGUGUAGCGGUGAAAUGCGUAGAGAUCUGGAGGAAUACCGAUGGCGAAGGCAGCCAUCUGGCCUAAUACUGACGCUGAGGUACGAAAGCAUGGGGAGCAAACAGGAUUAGAUACCCCAGUAGUCCCUGUCUCUUAUAC